Molecule: ribosomal RNA, 433 nt
Filed under: uncultured bacterium
Lineage: Bacteria
Description: partial 16S ribosomal RNA
Rfam family: Bacterial small subunit ribosomal RNA
Source: RNAcentral
AACGAACGCUGGCGGCAUGCCUAACACAUGCCAGUCGAACGAGACCUUCGGGUCUAGUGGCGCACGGGUGCGUAACGCGUGGGAACCUGCCCUUAGGUUCGGAAUAACUCCCCGAAAGGGGUGCUAAUACCGGAUAAUGUCUUCGGACCAAAGAUUUAUCGCCUUUGGAUGGGCCCGCGUUGGAUUAGCUAGUUGGUAGGGUAAAAGCCUACCAAGGCGACGAUCCAUAGCUGGUCUGAGAGGAUGAUCAGCCACACUGGGACUGAGACACGGCCCAGACUCCUACGGGAGGCAGCAGUGGGGAAUAUUGGACAAUGGGCGAAAGCCUGAUCCAGCAAUGCCGGGUGAGUGAUGAAGGCCUUAGGGUUGUAAAGCUCUUUUACCCGGGAUGAUAAUGACGGUACCGGGAGAAUAAGCUCCGGCUAACUCCGUG